RNAcentral lists this ribosomal RNA (261 nucleotides) under uncultured prokaryote. RNAcentral's name for it is "partial 16S ribosomal RNA". It matches the Rfam family "Bacterial small subunit ribosomal RNA", at positions 524 to 784 of the family's 1533-position model. The record is from RNAcentral.
UACGUAGGUGGCAAGCGUUGUCCGGAUUUAUUGGGCGUAAAGCGAGCGCAGGCGGUUCCUUAAGUCUGGUGUGAAAGCCCACGGCUCAACCGUGGAAGGUCAUUGGAAACUGGGGAACUUGAGUGCAGAAGAGGAGAGUGGAAUUCCAUGUGUAGCGGUGAAAUGCGUAGAUAUAUGGAGGAACACCAGUGGCGAAGGCGACUCUCUGGUCUGUAACUGACGCUGAGGCUCGAAAGCGUGGGGAGCAAACAGGAUUAGAUA